UUACUUAUCGAUUAUCGAUUUGUACAUAUGCUUAUCGUUAUCGUUUCAAUAAGGUUUCGAUUAUUUCGAUUUCGAUUUAUUGAUUUUGGGGUCUUAUCGAUUCGGUUAUCAAUUACACCAAUAAGAAAAUUUGCGGGAUUCCACGGAAAGUAUAUCUCUAUAAACGCGCCUAAAUAUGGACAAAAAGAAGCUAAAUAAGACGAAACCAUUUAUAACAUAAAAAUUGUAUUAACAAGCACAUGCAAGAAAACUAAUGUAAGGAAUCAAAUGUAUGUCACCACUACUCCAACGAUAUAAAAAAAUAAAACAAGACAAAGUACAUCAUCAUGACUAAUUUUAUUUUCCAUUAAUUUGAACUUCAUUCCCUUGAUCUUUAAAUAUGGUUAUUCCUUAAAUGUGGUAGAGGAAAUAAUAGGGUAAGGGACUUAGAGUAAAUGAAAUAGUAUAGAUUAGGGAAAAUGAUAUUGUAUAGCCGCUUUCAAAAUAGUAGCGGAAUAUAUAUACAUUCUGUAUGUUAUAUUAAUCUACACAAAUAGGUAAUNN
RNAcentral lists this long non-coding RNA (543 nucleotides) under Nicotiana benthamiana. RNAcentral's name for it is "long non-coding RNA (NBEN_LNC033349)". Lineage: Eukaryota; Viridiplantae; Streptophyta; Magnoliopsida; Solanales; Solanaceae. The record is from RNAcentral.